Molecule: long non-coding RNA, 519 nt
Organism: Esox lucius (northern pike)
Lineage: Eukaryota; Metazoa; Chordata; Actinopteri; Esociformes; Esocidae
Exons: 3
Source: RefSeq, a predicted model, not a curated record
GCCAAUAGUUCCAAACACUGAUAGUUCCAGCACUGAAGACCAUUAAUAUUAGGAGCUUCCGAAGUACGCUCGCUAGAUGGAUUAUCAGUGGAGAGUGGAGUGAUAACCAGGCUGGGGGAGCUUGCCAUUCCUGUAAGCAGUGGAGUGAUGAUGAAGCUGGUUGGUGGCACUAUUUGAACAGUGGAGUGCUGAAGCUGAUGCGGUGAUAAAGCUAUCAUGGCAUGAAGGAAGCCUGCUGUCCAAGAGCCCACUCUCUCUCUCCAGCAUAUCCAUGGCAUUUGGAUCCAUGAAGGAGGCAUCGGUCGUAGUUCGGAAUAGCUCCUCGAUUUGUUGGACUAAAUCGAAGGCUUCUUUUGAAGGCUGACAGAGUAGACCGGGCUUAAACUCCUUCAGCUUGAGUAAAACACUAUGCUUUACUUCAGGACUGUCAUCACUGUGCUAAAUUGCAUUUUGACAAUCACCAUGAACUGCCUGAACUGCCACCUUAACGUGGUGGAGAGGUUUGAGUACCCGAGUGAC